This 278-nucleotide ribosomal RNA is filed under the name uncultured Glomus. Its description in RNAcentral is "partial 18S small subunit ribosomal RNA". It matches the Rfam family "Eukaryotic small subunit ribosomal RNA", at positions 591 to 873 of the family's 1831-position model. The record is from RNAcentral. Lineage: Eukaryota; Fungi; Glomeromycota; Glomeromycetes; Glomerales; Glomeraceae.
CCAAUAGCGUAUAUUAAAGUUGUUGCAGUUAAAAAGCUCGUAGUUGAAUUUCGGGGUCAGUAGGCUGGUCGUGCCACAGGUAUGAACUGGUCUCACUGAUUCCUCCUUCCUGAUGAACCGUAAUGCCAUUAAUUUGGUGUUGCGGGGAGACUGGACUGUUACUUUGAAAAAAUUAGAGUGUUUAAAGCAGGCUAACGCUUGAAUACAUUAGCAUGGAAUACUGAAAUAGGACGUUCGGUCUUAUUUUGUUGGUUUCUCAGAUUGACGUAAUGAUUAAU